CGAAGAGGGAGAGGCCGUGCCUGCCCGCGGGAGCACAGCAGUCUCCAGUUGGAGGUGGCCAUGGAGAUGGGCGGCUGUCGUCCUAGAGGGUGGCACGCGUGGAGAGGAGGCUGUGCUGGAGAGAGAGGCCAAGACAAACAGGCGCUGACUGUUGGCAGACUAGUAAUAUUUGCUAUUCCACCCGGCAGCCAUUCUGAACCAGAGGGUGGAGGACAGAAUGAAAAGAAGCUUGGAUCCCUGAGGACUGUGGGCUGCCAUACAUAGGAGAGAGAAACAGUUCUGGGUGUACUCUGAUGCCUUCACAAAAAUGUUCCUAUAAAAGGGUUUCAUCUUCAAGGAAU
Long non-coding RNA from Eubalaena glacialis (North Atlantic right whale), 341 nucleotides. RefSeq lists it as uncharacterized. The transcript has 3 exons. The record is from RefSeq and is a predicted model, not a curated record. NCBI's taxonomy places the organism in Eukaryota, Metazoa, Chordata, Mammalia, Artiodactyla, Balaenidae.